This 77-nucleotide transfer RNA is filed under the name Salmonella enterica subsp. enterica serovar Pullorum str. 19945. RNAcentral describes it as "tRNA-Thr". It matches the Rfam family "tRNA". Rfam says of the family: Transfer RNA (tRNA) molecules are approximately 80 nucleotides in length. Their secondary structure includes four short double-helical elements and three loops (D, anti-codon, and T loops). Lineage: Bacteria; Pseudomonadati; Pseudomonadota; Gammaproteobacteria; Enterobacterales; Enterobacteriaceae. The record is from RNAcentral.
GCUGAUAUGGCUCAGUUGGUUAGAGCGCACCCUUGGUAAGGGUGAGGUCCCCAGUUCGACUCUGGGUAUCAGCACCA